RNAcentral lists this small RNA (27 nucleotides) under Bombyx mori (domestic silkworm). RNAcentral's name for it is "ovarian small RNA-13763". Lineage: Eukaryota; Metazoa; Arthropoda; Insecta; Lepidoptera; Bombycidae. The record is from RNAcentral.
CCGAACCCGAUGGUAGGCCGAUUCGGA